Molecule: ribosomal RNA, 496 nt
Filed under: uncultured bacterium
Lineage: Bacteria
Description: partial 16S ribosomal RNA
Rfam family: Bacterial small subunit ribosomal RNA
Source: RNAcentral
GAUGAACGCUGGCGGCGUGCCUAAUACAUGCAAGUCGAGCGAACAGACGAGGAGCUUGCUCCUCUGACGUUAGCGGCGGACGGGUGAGUAACACGUGGAUAACCUACCUAUAAGACUGGGAUAACUUCGGGAAACCGGAGCUAAUACCGGAUAAUAUAUUGAACCGCAUGGUUCAAUAGUGAAAGACGGUUUUGCUGUCACUUAUAGAUGGAUCCGCGCCGCAUUAGCUAGUUGGUAAGGUAACGGCUUACCAAGGCAACGAUGCGUAGCCGACCUGAGAGGGGGAUCGGCCACACUGGAACUGAGACACGGUCCAGACUCCUAAGGGAGGCAGCAGGAGGGAAUCUUCCGCAAUGGGCGAAAGCUUGACGGAGCAACGCCGCGUGAGUGAUGAAGGUCUUCGGAUCGUAAAACGCUGUUAUUAGGGAAGAACAAAUGUGUAAGUAACGAUGCACGUCUGGACGGUACCUAAUCAGAAAGCCACGGCUAACUACGU